This 432-nucleotide ribosomal RNA is filed under the name uncultured bacterium. RNAcentral describes it as "partial 16S ribosomal RNA". It matches the Rfam family "Bacterial small subunit ribosomal RNA", at positions 355 to 777 of the family's 1533-position model. The record is from RNAcentral.
UGGGGAAUUUUGGACAAUGGGCGAAAGCCUGAUCCAGCAAUGCCGCGUGUGUGAAGAAGGCCUUCGGGUUGUAAAGCACUUUUGUCCGGAAAGAAAUCCUUGGCUCUAAUACAGUCGGGGGAUGACGGUACCGGAAGAAUAAGCACCGGCUAACUACGUGCCAGCAGCCGCGGUAAUACGUAGGGUGCAAGCGUUAAUCGGAAUUACUGGGCGUAAAGCGUGCGCAGGCGGUUUGCUAAGACCGAUGUGAAAUCCCCGGGCUCAACCUGGGAACUGCAUUGGUGACUGGGCAGGCUAGAGUAUGGCAGAGGGGGGUUAGAAUUCCACGUGUAGCAGUGAAAUGCGUAGAGAUGUGGAGGAAUACCGAUGGCGAAGGCAGCCCCCUGGGCCAAUACUGACGCUCAUGCACGAAAGCGUGGGGAGCAAACAGGA